Eucalyptus grandis is the source of this 1408-nucleotide RNA transcript. It is a transcript of the gene named jacalin-related lectin 19, with no coding region annotated. The transcript is spliced from 4 exons. The record is from RefSeq and is a predicted model, not a curated record. Lineage: Eukaryota; Viridiplantae; Streptophyta; Magnoliopsida; Myrtales; Myrtaceae.
AUUGUCAUCUUUUCUCACCGUGGAAUUUGAGACGUUCAAUUCUUAUGCUCAAAAGGCAAAAAGUUCAGAUUCUUGGUUAGCAAGGUGGAAUCCGAUGCUGCACUAAGCCGCCGUGCACUCGAUUCCUAUAUAGCUUAUUGUAUGAGCAUCAUCACUUUCCACCCACAAGCAACAAUAUCUUUCGCCUCUGAGCUUUGGAUCUUGUUCUUCCAUACACAGAUUCUCUGCUUCAAGUUAGCAGUCUUCUUCAUGGAAGAUGGGAAAAAGAAUAGAAGUGGGACGAAGAAGAAGAAGAGCAUAGAAGUCGGGCCAUGGGGAGGAAAUGGUGGAAUCAGCUGGGACGAUGGGAGUUACCAUGGCGUGAGGGAGAUCACUCUUGUUUUUGGCCAUUGCAUCGACUCGAUCUGCGCGGUAUACGAUAAGAAUGGAAAACCUGUGGCAGCAGAGAAGCAUGGAGGUCAUGGAGGGGAUCAAUCAGCUGAGAUUAAGCUGCAGUUCCCGGACGAGUAUUUGGUCAGCGUGAGUGGCUACCACUGUCCCGUGGUUCAUGGAGGCAGCCCGGUCAUUAGAUCGCUCACCUUCAAGAGCAACAAAAGAACAUUCGGGCCGUUCGGGAUGGAACACGGCACGCCAUUUUCUUUCCCAUCGGAUGGCCGGAUAGUCGGAUUCAAGGGACGAAGCGGCUGGUACCUCGAUUCUAUUGGGUUCCAUGUGUCCCGAGCUCAACCGACAAAGCUACUUCAGAAGGUUCAUAGGAAACUUCAGGGACUUGCUAGCACCAUUGCUUCGAAACCUCCGAUGACAUCGAAGGACAGAGAGGGUGGAGGCCCUUGAAGUAUGAACGUGCAUAGAUGCAAUCGAGAAGCUGCUAUUCAGACUGUCCUUUUUCUCCUCUGGUUGUAGUAAAGAAUAUGAAGUUUUUAGAGUCAUCCGUUAAUUAUGUUCCUGUCUGAAAGAGAUCUAUCAGACAUUAUAUGACUAGAAAACCUAAGAGCUCCCUCUGAUUUAUAGAAGUAACUCCUCCCAAGACAAAGUUCACUUCAGCCACUCUUUCGGCCUAAAAGCAGAGCUUUCUUUCACUCCCAUGGGCAAUAUUUCUUGAUUAAUGAGGAUGUGGACGAGAUCAUUUAGCAAAAGAGCAUUAUAUGCUGGAGAACAUUAGGUCACUUCCCGGCUCAGUUGUUUCAUUUCCUCAACGUGCCCGGGGACGACAGCUAAAAAGCUGUCCGGAUUUUCAGCUUAGCUGAAAGAAGGCACCAGAAGACAGAGACCCAAAGCAGCUAAUCAAGUUACACAGAUAUCAAAUGUGCUCAACUAAUAGACCAAAUUACGAAUUUCCACUGCUCUACAAACAAAGGUAUGUUACCCGUGGCCAAGGACAAAGAAGUCGCGUCUACGUUCUCAUUCA